This 513-nucleotide ribosomal RNA is filed under the name uncultured bacterium. Its description in RNAcentral is "bacterial SSU rRNA". It matches the Rfam family "Bacterial small subunit ribosomal RNA", at positions 944 to 1461 of the family's 1533-position model. The record is from RNAcentral.
GAUUAAUUCGAUGCAGCGCGAAAAACCUUACCUACGCUUGACAUGCCAGGAACUUUCCAGAGAUGGAUUGGUGCCCGAAAGGGAACCUGGACACAGGUGCUGCAUGGCUGUCGUCAGCUCGUGUCGUGAGAUGUUGGGUUAAGUCCCGCAACGAGCGCAACCCUUAUCCCUAGUUGCUACGCAAGGGCACUCUAGGGAGACUGCCGGUGACAAACCGGAGGAAGGUGGGGAUGACGUCAAGUCCUCAUGGCCCUUAUGUGUAGGGCUUCACACGUCAUACAAUGGUCGGUACAGAGGGUCGCCAACCCGCGAGGGGGAGCCAAUCCCAGAAAACCGAUCGUAGUCCGGAUUGCAGUCUGCAACUCGACUGCAUGAAGUCGGAAUCGCUAGUAAUCGCGGAUCAGCAUGUCGCGGUGAAUACGUUCCCGGGUCUUGUACACACCGCCCGUCACACCAUGGGAUGUGGGUUCUACCAGAAGUAGGUAGCCUAACCGCAAGGAGGGCGCUACCACG